This is a non-coding RNA of Ictidomys tridecemlineatus (thirteen-lined ground squirrel), 72 nucleotides long. The record is from Rfam. NCBI's taxonomy places the organism in Eukaryota, Metazoa, Chordata, Mammalia, Rodentia, Sciuridae.
AGGGUUGUAGCUCAGUGGUAGAGCACUUGCUUUGCAUACAUGAGGCCCUGGGUUUGAUCCUCAGCACCACAU